GACAGAGGGUGCAAACGUUGCUCGGAAUUACUGGGCGUAAAGCGCGUGUAGGCGGACCAGCAAGUCGGACGUGAAAUCCCUGAGCUCAACUCAGGAACUGCAUCCGAAACUGCUGGUCUGGAGUGGUGGAGAGGGAAGCAGAAUUCCUGGUGUAGAGGUGAAAUUCGUAGAUAUCAGGAGGAACACCGGUGGCGAAGGCGGCUUCCUGGACACAUACUGACGCUGAGACGCGAAAGCGUGGGGAGCAAACAGG
Molecule: ribosomal RNA, 253 nt
Filed under: uncultured bacterium
Lineage: Bacteria
Description: partial 16S ribosomal RNA
Rfam family: Bacterial small subunit ribosomal RNA
Source: RNAcentral